UGCGCGAUUACGGGAUUAACAAUAUUGACGUGUAUCGUAAUAGCGUUUACCGGGAGAAAAGUUAUUUCUUUCUCUCUGUUUAUAUUUGUUUUCCUAAGCGAAUGUCUAAAGAUAAAAAAAAGAAAGACUAUUUGAACACUCGUUAUAGGCGUGUGACAAUAUAGGAAUUUUGUCGUGACUGGAGAAAAAUUCGUCGUCAGUGUAUAUAAUAGCAAAAUAUUUACCUUACCUGUUGAU
Non-coding RNA from Cinara cedri, 237 nucleotides. Lineage: Eukaryota; Metazoa; Arthropoda; Insecta; Hemiptera; Aphididae. The record is from the annotation of a GenBank genome assembly.